CACGUAGGGGGCGAGCGUUGUCCGGAUUUAUUGGGCGUAAAGAGCUCGUAGGCGGUCUGUCGCGUCGGAUGUGAAAAUCCAGGGCUUAACCCUGGACCUGCAUUCGAUACGGGCAGACUAGAGUUCGGUAGGGGAGACUGGAAUUCCUGGUGUAGCGGUGAAAUGCGCAGAUAUCAGGAGGAACACCGGUGGCGAAGGCGGGUCUCUGGGCCGAAACUGACGCUGAGGAGCGAAAGCGUGGGGAGCAAACAGG
This 253-nucleotide ribosomal RNA is filed under the name uncultured bacterium. Its description in RNAcentral is "partial 16S ribosomal RNA". It matches the Rfam family "Bacterial small subunit ribosomal RNA", at positions 524 to 776 of the family's 1533-position model. The record is from RNAcentral.